UGUACUCGUGAUUCUGAUUAGUAUUUUCAGUUGACCGACGAUACAUGUGAAGAAAGAACGUGAACGUGAAACAUUGUAUUCUCGUGAGGAUGCCACGUCGAUGUUUCGCAUCAGAAGGAAAGAAAAAAGCCUCUUCCACAGGUUCAAGAAGAGCCAGUUCCUUUGACUGUACAUAAUAUCGAGCCGUGACACUUGGUGGUGAAGAAAUUUUCAGCCGUUAAAAUUUCACCGAUAUUCAAUUAACGCUCAAACGUAUCGCCUUUAUAACCGACUUCUUAAUACGCUUUCUCUCUUUAGACUUCCAUUCAUUUAUUGUAUUAUAUAAUACAAUGCUUGACUCAAAUGCCAAUAAAUAUUCCAUUACCGAUUCCGUUUUAACAUACCCAUGGCGAAAAUUA
Long non-coding RNA from Megalopta genalis, 398 nucleotides. RefSeq lists it as uncharacterized. Lineage: Eukaryota; Metazoa; Arthropoda; Insecta; Hymenoptera; Halictidae. The record is from RefSeq and is a predicted model, not a curated record.